Molecule: ribosomal RNA, 262 nt
Filed under: uncultured bacterium
Lineage: Bacteria
Description: partial 16S ribosomal RNA
Rfam family: Bacterial small subunit ribosomal RNA
Source: RNAcentral
AGCGAACGCUGGCGGCAGGCUUAACACAUGCAAGUCGAACGGGCAUAGCAAUAUGUCAGUGGCAGACGGGUGAGUAACGCGUGGGAACAUACCUCUUGGUCCGGAACAACACAGGGAAACUUGUGCUAAUACCGGAUAAGCCCUUACGGGAAAGGAUUUAUCGCCGAGAGAUUGGCCCGCCGUCUGAUUAGUCUAGUUGGUAGGGUAAGUGGCCUACCAAGGCGACGAUCAGAGCUGGUCUGAGAGGAUGAUCAGCCACAUU